Molecule: small nuclear RNA, 94 nt
Filed under: Dictyocaulus viviparus (bovine lungworm)
Lineage: Eukaryota; Metazoa; Nematoda; Chromadorea; Rhabditida; Metastrongylidae
Source: RNAcentral
GUUCAUUCCUGAACAUAUACUAAAAUUGGGACAAUGCAGCGUAAGAUUAGCAUGGCCCCUGCGCAAGGAUGACACACAAAUUCGUGAAGCGUUC